GAUGAACGCUAGCUACAGGCUUAACACAUGCAAGUCGAGGGGCAGCAUGAACUUAGCUUGCUAAGUUUGAUGGCGACCGGCGCACGGGUGAGUAACACGUAUCCAACCUUCCGUUUACUCAGGGAUAGCCUUUCGAAAGAAAGAUUAAUACCUGAUAGUAUGGUGAGAUUGCAUGAUAACACCAUUAAAGAUUUAUUGGUAAACGAUGGGGAUGCGUUCCAUUAGGUAGUAGGCGGGGUAACGGCCCACCUAGCCUGCGAUGGAUAGGGGUUCUGAGAGGAAGGUCCCCCCACAUUGGAACUGAGACACGGUCCAAACUCCUACGGGAGGCAGCAGUGAGG
Molecule: ribosomal RNA, 341 nt
Filed under: uncultured bacterium
Lineage: Bacteria
Description: bacterial SSU rRNA
Rfam family: Bacterial small subunit ribosomal RNA
Source: RNAcentral